Molecule: non-coding RNA, 172 nt
Organism: Klebsiella pneumoniae IS43
Lineage: Bacteria; Pseudomonadati; Pseudomonadota; Gammaproteobacteria; Enterobacterales; Enterobacteriaceae
Source: Rfam
UCCAUCGCGAGAUGGAAUCUGAAGGAAGUCGAAGGCAAAGCACUGACCUGACGAACAGAAAUCGCAUACGAGGCGGCAGCUGUGGGUGAGGAGUCUACUAUCUUCAAAGCCCGGUACUUGCACGGAGCGGCGGUCGUAAAUGCGGCAGGUAUAAGUGUGAAGGUCGCGCGUC